AUGCACCUACGGGACGCAGCAGCGAGGAAUAUUGGUCAAUGGGCUUACGCCUGAACCAGCCAAGUCGCGUGAGGGAAGACUGCCCUAUGGGUUGUAACCCUCUUUUGUCAGGGAGCAAUUGGCGCUACGUGUAGCGUUAUCGAGAGUACCUGAAGAAAAAGCAUCGGCUAAUUCCGUGCCAGCAGCCGCGGUAAUACGGAGGAUGCGAGCGUUAUCCGGAUUUAUUGGGUUUAAAGGGUGCGUAGGCGGAAUGCCAAGUCAGCGGUAAAAUCGCGGGGCUCAACCUCGCUCCGCCGUUGAAACUG
RNAcentral lists this ribosomal RNA (305 nucleotides) under uncultured bacterium. Its description in RNAcentral is "bacterial SSU rRNA". It matches the Rfam family "Bacterial small subunit ribosomal RNA", at positions 333 to 635 of the family's 1533-position model. The record is from RNAcentral.